Molecule: ribosomal RNA, 666 nt
Filed under: uncultured bacterium
Lineage: Bacteria
Description: bacterial SSU rRNA
Rfam family: Bacterial small subunit ribosomal RNA
Source: RNAcentral
GCAUGCAAGUCGAACGAUAAUCCUUCGGGAUUAGAGUGGCGGACGGGUGAGUAACGCGUAGGAAUCUACCCUUUGGUGGAGAAUAACUUAGGGAAACUUAAGCUAAUACUGCAUAGUUCUCUUCGGAGUAAAGGUCAUAACUGAUCGCCAAGGGAGGAGCCUGCGUCCUAUCAGCUUGUUGGUGAGGUAAAAGCUCACCAAGGCGAUGACGGGUAGGGGGUGUGAGAGCACGGCCCCCCACAAGGUCACUGAUACACGGGGCCUACACCUACGGGUGGCAGCAACUGGGAAUCUUGCGCAAUGGGCGAAAGCCUGACGCAGCGACGCCGCGUGCGGGAAGAAGGUCUUCGGAUUGUAAACCGCUGUGGAGAGGGAAGAUAAUGACGGUACCUUUCUAGAAAGCACCUGCUAACUACGUGCCAGAAGCCUCGGUGAUACGUAGGGUGCAAGCAUUAUCCGGAUUUAUUGGGCGUAAAGAGUAUCGUAGGCGGUUUUGUAAGUGAUUGGUGAAAUCCUUGGGCUCAACCCAAGAAUUGCCAGUCAUACUGUAAGACUAGAGUGAUUUCGGAAAGGCUGGAAUUCUCGGUGUAGGGGUGAAAUCCGUUGAUAUCGAGAGGAACACCAAGGGCGAAGGCAGGCCUUUAGGAAUCUACUGACGCUGAUGAA